This 636-nucleotide ribosomal RNA is filed under the name bacterium enrichment culture clone MIZ1-1-I-03. RNAcentral's name for it is "bacterial SSU rRNA". It matches the Rfam family "Bacterial small subunit ribosomal RNA", at positions 66 to 697 of the family's 1533-position model. The record is from RNAcentral.
GCGGUAGAGAGAAGCUUGCUUCUCUUGAGAGCGGCGGACGGGUGAGUAAUGCCUAGGAAUCUGCCUAGUGGUGGGGGAUAACGUUCGGAAACGGACGCUAAUACCGCAUACGUCCUACGGGAGAAAGCGGGGGACCUUCGGGCCUCGCGCCAUUAGAUGAGCCUAGGUCGGAUUAGCUAGUUGGUGAGGUAAUGGCUCACCAAGGCGACGAUCCGUAACUGGUCUGAGAGGAUGAUCAGUCACACUGGAACUGAGACACGGUCCAGACUCCUACGGGAGGCAGCAGUGGGGAAUAUUGGACAAUGGGCGAAAGCCUGAUCCAGCCAUGCCGCGUGUGUGAAGAAGGUCUUCGGAUUGUAAAGCACUUUAAGUUGGGAGGAAGGGUAGUAACUUAAUACGUUGCUACUUUGACGUUACCGACAGAAUAAGCACCGGCUAACUUCGUGCCAGCAGCCGCGGUAAUACGAAGGGUGCAAGCGUUAAUCGGAAUUACUGGGCGUAAAGCGCGCGUAGGUGGUUCAGUAAGUUGGAAGUGAAAUCCCCGGGCUCAACCUGGGAACUGCUUUCAAAACUGCUGAGCUAGAGUACGGUAGAGGGUGGUGGAAUUUCCUGUGUAGCGGUGAAAUGCGUAGAUAU